UGUUGGGACUAUGCACACUGUAAAUCAUCAGCGGGUAUGCAUCGCCACCCGUUGUUUCCAUAGCUCUUAUGUCUUGGAUUUGCCUGUGCCACAAGCUUACAGUAAUGGACUUGUUGGUGUCCUAUGUCCUACAGCGUCUCUUUGGUGGUCAAGUACUCCUUCUGUUUCGUAAUAGCAGGUUCAACACACAUGUGUGAACUUUGCAUCAAUACAACAAUGGCCUCUGCAAUGACAGCUUUGAUGGCAUUCUGCUUGAUUGCUCACCAUUUCUUCAGUUGCAUGGGUAGAGUGCCAAACAAUGUGGAACAUGUAAUCAGGUCCGAUCAAUUAAGACAGGUGUGCUGCCACCUGCCACGAAGGUAUUUAGUAGUGUUUACAAAAUUGUACAACAUAGCAAUAUCUCAUAACUCUA
This 412-nucleotide long non-coding RNA is filed under the name Oryza brachyantha (malo sina). Its description in RNAcentral is "long non-coding RNA (OBRA_LNC002983)". Lineage: Eukaryota; Viridiplantae; Streptophyta; Magnoliopsida; Poales; Poaceae. The record is from RNAcentral.